RNAcentral lists this non-coding RNA (179 nucleotides) under Candidatus Aminicenantota bacterium. RNAcentral's name for it is "Candidatus Aminicenantes bacterium 6S RNA". It matches the Rfam family "6S / SsrS RNA". Rfam says of the family: E. coli 6S RNA was the first non coding RNA to be sequenced, but its function was unknown until recently. It consists of 184 nucleotides that fold into an extended hairpin structure with a large single-stranded internal bulge. Lineage: Bacteria; Candidatus Aminicenantota. The record is from RNAcentral.
AGGUCCCUGCGCGGUUGGUGAUGAGUGAGACUAUCGUUGAACCAACACCUAUUUGAAGGGUUGCCGGGUUAUCCCGCUUCGAUGCCCGCCCCACGGUGGGAGACAGGCAGGGUACAGGUGCCCACCUGUGGUUUCGCAGGUUCAAAUAGAGUUGCUCACACGGCCGUUGUGGGGGCCUC